CCCGCUCUAACGGGGUGCCCUUUGUCUUUCGGGAUAAAUGGCUGAGAGGCUUCAUGCCAACCCGAAGAACCUGAUCCGGUUUGUACCGGCGGAGGGAUUAGACGGCACGGUUCA
This 114-nucleotide non-coding RNA is filed under the name Rhizobium sp. RNAcentral's name for it is "TPP sequence". It matches the Rfam family "TPP riboswitch aptamer (THI element)". Rfam says of the family: Vitamin B(1) in its active form thiamin pyrophosphate (TPP) is an essential coenzyme that is synthesised by coupling of pyrimidine and thiazole moieties in bacteria. The previously detected thiamin-regulatory element, thi box was extended, resulting in a new, highly conserved RNA secondary structure, the THI element, which is widely distributed in eubacteria and also occurs in some archaea. Analysis of operon structures identified a large number of new candidate thiamin-regulated genes, mostly transporters, in various prokaryotic organisms. Lineage: Bacteria; Pseudomonadati; Pseudomonadota; Alphaproteobacteria; Hyphomicrobiales; Rhizobiaceae. The record is from RNAcentral.